This 765-nucleotide ribosomal RNA is filed under the name Triticum aestivum (bread wheat). Its description in RNAcentral is "partial small subunit ribosomal RNA". The record is from RNAcentral. Lineage: Eukaryota; Viridiplantae; Streptophyta; Magnoliopsida; Poales; Poaceae.
AUGGCUACUCGUGAUGCUUGUCCACUAUGUGGCUCUCCCGAUUUGUGGCGGCAUGCAUUGGUGUCAUGUUCUUUGGCUCGCUGCACCUGGGCACUGUCCGAUCCCGGUCUAUUCGCGAAGAUGGCGAAGAUUGAUGAAGCCAGUGCAAAGAACUGGUUGUUUCGUUUGAACGAGGACCUGGAUCACAAGUUAUUUACAACACUGGUUGUGACUCUUUGGGCAAUAUGGUAUGCCAGGAGGAAGGCCAUCCAACGGACAGCAGCAAUCAGCGGAGGGCCAAGAAGAUGGAUAGCUCCACCAGAGGGGCUGGCGAAAAUCAAUGUUGAUGGAGUUGUUGCGCAACAUAAACGUGGAGGGGCAGUUUCUGUGGUGUGCCGAGACCACACGGGACUAUAUCUGGGUUCUUCGGCGGCAGUCUAUAGAGGCAUCACCGAUCCCACAACCCUGGAAACUUUCGCUUGCAGGGAGGCGUUGGCGCUGGCUCUGGAUCUUCAGCUCACAAACAUGAUGGUCGCUUCAGACUGCAAAGGCGUGGUACUGGACAUAAACGAGGGGACAGGAGGUCCGCAUUCGGCUAUCAUACAUGAAAUAACGCAACAGAGAAGCUCCUUCGACUUAGUCUCUUUUGUUUUUGAACAUAGAAAUCACAAUUUCGAGGCUCAUAAUCUCGCCAAGUUCGCUUAUAAUUUAGAAGUAGGUCGCCAUGUUUGGCUGGGAAUUCCCCAUGACCAGAUCUGUGUACCUAUGAACAUUUCUACAAUUUAA